UACAGAGGUCCCUAGCGUUGCUCGGAAUUACUGGGCGUAAAGGGCGCGUAGGCGGACAGUUAAGUCGGGGGUGAAAGCCCGGGGCUCAACCUCGGAAUUGCCUUCGAUACUGGCUGUCUUGAGUGCGGGAGAGGUGUGUGGAACUCCGAGUGUAGAGGUGAAAUUCGUAGAUAUUCGGAAGAACACCAGUGGCGAAGGCGACACACUGGCCCGUUACUGACGCUGAUGCGCGAAAGCGUGGGGACCAAACAGG
This 253-nucleotide unclassified non-coding RNA is filed under the name uncultured Caulobacteraceae bacterium. Its description in RNAcentral is "contains 16S-23S intergenic spacer region". It matches the Rfam family "Bacterial small subunit ribosomal RNA", at positions 524 to 776 of the family's 1533-position model. The record is from RNAcentral. Lineage: Bacteria; Pseudomonadati; Pseudomonadota; Alphaproteobacteria; Caulobacterales; Caulobacteraceae.